This 430-nucleotide ribosomal RNA is filed under the name uncultured bacterium. RNAcentral describes it as "bacterial SSU rRNA". It matches the Rfam family "Bacterial small subunit ribosomal RNA", at positions 340 to 786 of the family's 1533-position model. The record is from RNAcentral.
UACGGAAGGCAGCAGUGGGGAAUCUUGCGCAAUGGGCGAAAGCCUGACGCAGCCAUGCCGCGUGAAUGAUGAAGGUCUUAGGAUUGUAAAAUUCUUUCACCGGGGACGAUAAUGACGGUACCCGGAGAAGAAGCCCCGGCUAACUUCGUGCCAGCAGCCGCGGUAAUACGAAGGGGCUAGCGUUGCUCGGAAUUACUGGGCGUAAAGGGCGCGUAGGCGGAUCGUUAAGUCAGAGGUGAAAUCCCAGGGCUCAACCCUGGAACUGCCUUUGAUACUGGCGAUCUUGAGUAUGAGAGAGGUAUGUGGAACUCCGAGUGUAGAGGUGAAAUUCGUAGAUAUUCGGAAGAACACCAGUGGCGAAGGCGACAUACUGGGCUCAUUACUGACGCUGAGGCGCGAAAGCGUGGGGAGCAAACAGGGAUUAGAUACC